RNAcentral lists this ribosomal RNA (441 nucleotides) under uncultured bacterium. RNAcentral describes it as "bacterial SSU rRNA". It matches the Rfam family "Bacterial small subunit ribosomal RNA", at positions 360 to 793 of the family's 1533-position model. The record is from RNAcentral.
AAUAUUGCACAAUGGGCGCAAGCCUGAUGCAGCCAUGCCGCGUGUGUGAAGAAGGCCUUCGGGUUGUAAAGCACUUUCAGUCGUGAGGAAGGUAGUGUAGUUAAUAGCUGCAUUAUUUGACGUUAGCGACAGAAGAAGCACCGGCUAACUCCGUGCCAGCAGCCGCGGUAAUACGGAGGGUGCGAGCGUUAAUCGGAAUUACUGGGCGUAAAGCGCAUGCAGGUGGUUUGUUAAGUCAGAUGUGAAAGCCCCGGGGCUCAACCUCGGAAUAGCAUUUGAAACUGGCAGACUAGAGUACUGUAGAGGGGGUAGAAUUUCAGGUGUAGCGGUGAAAUGCGUAGAGAUCUGAAGGAAUACCGGUGGCGAAGGCGGCCCCCUGGACAGAUACUGACACUCAGAUGCGAAAGCGUGGGGAGCAAACAGGAUUAGAUACCCUGGUAG